Long non-coding RNA from Dermacentor silvarum, 1221 nucleotides. RefSeq lists it as uncharacterized. The transcript is spliced from 4 exons. Lineage: Eukaryota; Metazoa; Arthropoda; Arachnida; Ixodida; Ixodidae. The record is from RefSeq and is a predicted model, not a curated record.
UGUUUUUCCUCCGUGUUCUGUGAUGGCGGUCGUAUGUGCGGGGUGCUACGAGCGUCGCGUUUGCUUGAUCGUGUGUUUUUGUGUUUGCUGUUAUGAAGUAGGUCGCAGUUAGCGUGCACAGAAGUGCCUGAAGAUACCUUGUGUCACGCUGCAAACUCGCCGUAUGCGUGGCGCGCCAGGCAAAUGUGGCCCAACGAUUUUAUGCCGUGGAGUGCGGUCUCUUUGUUCUCGUUCUGGAAAGUUGGGUGGACGUCGCAAAGAAUGUAUGUUAGCGCGCCUCAGCUCGUCCACUACGCAGCGGCAUGUAUGCGAGGAGUAACAUCGUCGACGCAGCACCGGCAACUUGGAGAGUGCUUCGCGACCGCGUCGUACCAUUCAAAAGUGGCGAGGCUGUGACCCAUAACAGUGCCUACAUAACGGAGGAGCCACCAGACCCCUUGGCUAUGCCUGCCGUAGUGCAACGUAUAAUCUGGAUGGUCGGGUCAGGUACACCUAGGAAAUGUUGUAUACAUUGGCAACGAUAACUGGGGCCUGCUCCAGUGCCAUCGCCGGGAUUCCCUGUUCUGCAAAAAACUGACAUAACUGAUGUGGGGAGCCCUGGCGCUUGGUGUAGGAGUAUCACAGGGGCUCCUUGUCGGUGCUUGAAGGACGGCAAUGCUGUUGAGAAGCCGACAUUGAGCCCCGAUAAAUUGGAAGCUGUGGGUAGUUACCGCAUUAUUGACUUGGAAACCAGUGAGGUCUGGAUGCAAGUGAAGCUACCGAGGGAGGCAUGUGUGCAUCACUUGUGCUGCUGGCCAUCCUCUGCAAAAGUGAUGGCUGGCAGUCAGUGCUUGGAUGACUUUCUGUUACUCUACGCCUUGGGCUGUGUUGACUACUUCACGCUUGCUGCCAUGUCUGCAAGCUUAGGCAAAAAGACCGGCUGGAUGCUUGGCAGGAGAUAGUAUCCAACCGCAGUGUUACUGUGUUGUGUUGUACAUUACAAAGUGAUGGAGGACAGUAUUUGUGCUGUUAUUAAGAAGUAUAAAUUGUGUUCUGCCAUUGAAAUAAGGGAACUCGACACAAAGCAAAAAAUUUCGAAGUCUGACCUACAUGGGAAAGCAAAAUAUAUUGUGUUGUAGUUGUAGCUGUUAGUAGAGUCUUAAUAUGCGAUAGAAGACCUUGAUGUUUAAUAGAAAAUAUAUUUAAGUGUGUUAUCAGUGUGUUAUCAGUGUUUAAGUUACU